Molecule: long non-coding RNA, 5784 nt
Organism: Oncorhynchus mykiss (rainbow trout)
Lineage: Eukaryota; Metazoa; Chordata; Actinopteri; Salmoniformes; Salmonidae
Source: RefSeq, a predicted model, not a curated record
AAUUAUUCUGUGCUCUGGCACUCAGAUAAAGUGCUCUGAAAUCGGAGUAGAUAGUUAAUUCUGGCUAUGUCCAUUGAAAUACAAAAUGACUAUACCACUUAGCUAAGAAUGAUGUGAAUAAUCAAGUCAAUAAACGUUGGGUAGUAAGUUAGAUAGUUAAUAUACUGCCUGGUAAGUUCGAUGUAUUAGUAGUCAGCUAAUGUUAGGUAACUAGCUAACAUACUGGUACAUAAAUGCUGUAAUGCUAUGCUGUUCGUAAGGAUAGCGUAGCCAACAAAAUGUCAGCCAACAUAACGUGUAACGUAACUUAUUUGAGAAGUCAUUACUUUAUUACAUUGCUAAACAUUUGUCAUAAUUAGUGAAAGCAAUGAAUUUGUAUCCGCUCUGGUCGGACUUCGGCUGCAAAUUUUCCGCCAUUUUCUUCAAAUCUGAGAACUUUGAAGCCACGCUCAUUUUCUGAAGAAUUGCAUUAUGGGACCUAAAAAUAACAAAUAGUGUCAACUGCUUGUAUACUUCAUAUUUUGUUGAAUUUAGUACGACAUCCGGGAACUUUUGGCAUACUAACUAUAUCCAUACUAUGACCAAUAAGCAUACUAUAUACUCAAUUGACGUCACAAAUAGUGCAGUUAGUAUGAGUAUUCGAACACAGCUAAAGACAUAAACCAAACACUGACACAACACAGAGGUGUCUGUUCAAAGUGCCUGUUGAACGUUCUCUCUCUUUAUGUUGCUUUGGUUACAUGCACAAGUGCCAUUUGUUUCCUCUAAUUGUAAUACAAACAAAUUAAAACAGGAUCUACUGCCGCUAACAAACAGUCACAUUAAACAUACUUAAUUUUCCUGUAAAUGACUGAUUUGGGACCGGGACCUGUUCAGGAGGAGAUAACGUUCAUAUGAAAAUGUUUUGUCGAGAGUGAACCGUGUCAGGUUUACUUAUUACAUAGAAUUAUUAUUUUCCCCCUAAUAAGAAUAAUGCUAAGAUUUCCACAUUUGCAGCAUAUAGUUUUUUUUCAAUAUGAUUGUAUGGGUCAUUUUGAGGUCAGAAUAAUGCAAUAAUCCUGUGUCAAUACUUUCGUUGAUGAAGUGUGAGUGAUUGCUGAAGGUAGGCAACGUUAUUUUUCAAGUAACAUUUAAUCUGCAGCAAAUGGCCCAAGCAUUGCUGAGGCCUGGGUAUGUAUUUUACCACAUAUGUUAUAGCAAUCUGUCAGUUGAUGGCACAGUCAAUGACGUGGCACACAUCGAUUGGUUGAUGCAUGCAAUGUCUGAUGCGCUCGAGAAAAUACGAGACCUGACUGAGAAAAUUGUUUUGAAUGAGCAUCAAACUCUAAAUUCUAAUUUGGAAACUCUGGCAUCAUUCUAGCGCUCAAAUUUUCUGACCUGAAGAUCACUAACAUCAUGAUUUGAACUUGUUUUUUCCCCAAGUUUCCAGUUGUCUUGAAAGCACCAUUAGCAGGGGAACACCACCAAAAUUAAAUAAAUGUUUAUUGGUCGCAUACACAUAUUUUGCAGAGGUUAUUGCAGGUGUAGCUAAAUGCUUGUGUUCCUAGCUCCAACAGUGCAGUAAUAUCUAACAAUACACACAUCUAAAGUAAAAGACUGGAAUUAAGAAAUAUAUACAUUUUGGGACGAGCAGUGUAGGAGUCGAGUUUAUACAUGUGUAAAUAUGAUCCUUAACGGUCCUCAAAGCACUUAAUGAUGACAGAAGUGAGUGCUACGGGGCGAUAGUCAUUUAGUUCAGUUACUUUCGCUUUCUUGGGUACAGGAACAAUGGUGCACAUUUGAAGUAAGUGGGGACAGCAGACUGGGAUAGGGAGAGAUUGAAUAUGUUCGUAAACACUCUAGCCAGCUGGUCUACGCAUGCUCUGAGGACGUGGCUAAGGAUGCCGUCUGGGAUGGCAGCCUUACGAGGGUUAACACUCUUAAAUAUCUAACUCACGUCGGCCACGGAUAACGAGAGCUCACAGUCCCCGGGAGUGGCCAGCGAUGGUGGCACUGUGUUAUCCUCAAAGUGGGCGAAGGUGGUGUUUAGCUUGUCUGGGAUCAAGACGACAAUCGUGGCUGGUUUUCCCUUUGUAAUCCGUGAAUGUCUCUGUACUGAUGUGUUGCCUGUUUGAUUGCCUUAUGGAGGGCAUGACUGGACUGUUUGUAUUCAACCAUAUUCCCAGUCAUUUUGUCGUGGUUAAAUACGGUGGUUUGUGCUUUCAGUUUUGCACGAAUGCUGCCAUCUACCCAUGGUUUUAGGUUUGGAUAGGUUUUAAAUCAUCACAGUGGGAACAACAUCCCCUAUACACUUCCUGAUAAACUCAGUCACCGUGUCAGUGUAUACGUCAAUUCUUAAAGGCAACCCGGAACAUAUCCCAGUCCGCGUGAUCAAAACAAUCCUGAAGCAUGUAUUCCGAUUGAUCAGAUCAGCGUUGAAUAGACCUUAGCUUGGGUACUAUGGUGUCAUCAGGUGCACCUACCUUUGACACUAAACUGUGCAUAUGGAGCCGUUUACCCUCUUUAAUUCCAUUGAAAGACAGACAUCAGACACACCUAAAUAGUGUACUAUAAUUAACUUGAAAGAAAUCUGUGAAUGCAUAGUUCAAAACAGUAAAAGAAAUGUCAAGCAAUGUCAGUGUUAUGUCAUGCUUAGUGUUGGACUCUGGGGAUCUCCGCAUUAUUCUUUAUCCACGCUGUCAUCUGCUCUUUGAGGGUGAAUCUCUCUGGGUGAAUCUGGAAGAGUGGUGCUUGUCCAUUUAAAAAAAAAAAACGUGUUCCUCUGCUGAGACUUAGGGUUCUAUUCAGUCUGUAAACUGAAGCGUAACAGAUUCUGCGAUUAGACAUUUAAAGGUCAUUUCUGGUUGAGCCGUCAUAUGCAGCUUUUACCAUGAAUGCAACCACCACUAAUGCGGGAACAUUUCCUUUACAUUUCAAUCACGCUGUAAAGCUGAACAUCUGCAAUGCGGAAUGAAUAGUGCCGUGAAGCUCACUGUAAAGUCUGGUAUACAGUAGGUCUAUUGACAUGUCUGUAGAGAGUUGUCGCAAUGACAUCAUGAACAUUCUAUUGUCGUCCGACAUAAAAGUUGUCAUUAGUAUAAUGUAUUAACACAAAAACGACAGCCUGGUGGUCUAAAAUAGCAUAACUGCGGUAUUUUAAUAUCAAUAAACCCAUCGGUUUUAUGAAUUUAGUAUAUGUCAAUCUAGCAAUCCAAGCAACUACUGUAAAAGCAACUUUCUAAACAAUGUUUUUGUUCGUUUCUAGCUUAUCUGGCUAGCCAGUUCAAAUAAUGACCAUAUCAUAGCUUUAGCUCAUUGUUAUUCAUUAUUACAGGAAAAAUGAACUCACAACAAGAUAAUUAUUGAAUUUUGAUUCAUUUUUUAUUUAACCUUCCCUAUCUGACUGAGUGCCUGGGGACAGUUCAUGUCAGAACAUGUUCAUAGGCUUGAGCAGUGCAUGCCUCACUCCAAGCCUUUUAUGCAACUCCCUGACAGAUCUCAGCCAGUGUUUCUUGGCUGUGCUCGCCUUUUCGGUCACACUUUAUUUAGAUGUUCCAUCAGUAAAUGCUCUACAGAUGGUCAUACUAUACAAAAUAAUACAGUAUAUGGCAUGUGUCCAAAAGCGAUAAUCUAUUUUUUGUGUCACAUGUCUAUGCCCUUUUAUGGACUUCCUGUCUGGAUGUUCUCACGCUAUCGAGUGAGUGCUUUUGGGUAAAGCAAAUGUUUGCAAUAAAAAUGUCCUGGCUAUUAUGUGUAGUGACCUUGAACUGAAAUAAAAUGUGAAACAGUUGGGAAAUGUUGUACUGAACCUAUGGAUCUGCUGUUUAUGGAGCUUGUAUAUGAAAAAGUAAUUUCCGGGGUAGAUCUGCCUGAGUAUAAUUCAUCUUACCUGUCCUGUGCCAUGUCUAACACAGAAACCACAGAAGACCUGUAUCCUAGACCAAUUCUAGGUGUACUUCAUGUCUUUGACACAAUGACAAAACCAUCUUAAGCCAUUUUCUCCUGCGUUUCGCUUGAGAGAGUGGCUUAAGAUAAGACUUGCUCCAUGUUAGAUCAAACAGGCCCUGAGUGGAACAUCCCUGCCUGGGUACACAUUGGAAGAGGAAGUCUGUGGGUGAGAUGAUUUGAAAGCCAUAAGAAUUUCUUCAGUGGUAUAUAGUCCAGACUCCAAAGUGACAAUUUUAGGUUGUGCCGAAUUCAAUAGCUCAAAUGCAACCAAAUCUGUUUGUGCAUGCUUUGGAAAAUACAUACGAACUGAGGUCAACUAUUUUGUACCUGUCUUUAGCUUUAGGAGGGGAGAUUAUUUUCAAGUGCUUGCUUGAUAUGAUAAAACAAGUACAGCAGUUUUUUCACCAUUGUGAACAUUUACAACGAUGGGCUCUUCUGUCCUCAAGACAUAAUUUGGGUUUAAAGGCAAGAAGGAAUAGAAAACAUACGAAACCUGGAAGGCCCUGGAGAUCCAGCGUGGAAGAGACAUUGUCUGACGCGCUUACAGCUUGUAGAUGGGGAUUUAGACUAAUGGGGGUGUUGGUUUACAAUAGAUCCUUGCCAAGGCCUUUUUCUCUAAGAAAGGAAUUAAAGAAUAAUUUAAAAUAAACAUAAGGUAUAGUUUCAGAAUGCAUAGUACACUUUUUAAUAAUUGUAACAUGUAGGCAUUCAUGUAUUAACAUUUUAGACAAAAAUAAAAGGAUUUAAAAAGAUAAUUGUAUUUACCUUCAAUGAAAUAUCAGGCUCUGUCUCUCCGCAAGGUUGUGUGUGAGGCAAGGUGUUAGGUCACAAGCUAUGGGUUUACACACAGAGGAAAAUACUCAAUGACUUUUUUCUAUGAACAAAAUACAUUUAAAAGUAAUUGUAAUGUAUGUUUAAAUGUGGGUCAUAACAUUUUGAAGGAAAAAAUAAAGGGUUUUAAAAAGCAGCGUGUAUUUACAUUAAUGGAAUUAUAUAUAUCUUCCUCUGGCCUUCUGUCUCUUGUCCUCGGGCCCUGAGAGAGAGAGAACCCUGAUCAAGGAGCAAAGGCCUUAUUUUCUAUGAAUACAUUUUUAAAAAGUCUUUCCUAAAACAAAAUUACUAUACAUAAACAUUUAAUGGGUAUUAAAUGUAGCAUUGUUUAAUAAUAUGUAUGAUUUAUAUACAUUUAGUAAAAAAAUGUUUUUUUAAAAAAGAGGUAUAGUUUUAUAUUGUAUAGUAAACUUUUAAUAAUAUGUAUAUGUUUAAAGGUCUGUACUAAAUAUUUAGAAUUAAAUUAAGUGGUUUAAAAAUGUAUUUACCUUCAUAGAGGUUUCAUUGUCUGUCUGUCUCCCCAAUCUGUUUCUCUCUACACAAGAGAAAGUUGUUCGUAGGGGUGUCUGUGUGUCUUUCAAAACAACUGUCCAGUGGGCCUCCGAGGAUGUCCGGACCCCCAAACAGUUGUGACCAUCCUGGGCGUCCGGAUCUCUGUCUCUCACCGCAGCAGUUGCCAAUAAAUUUGACAUUCCAACCUUAAAAGUCUAAGUCCAUGAUGAAUCGAAGACUGAAGUUGAUGAGGUGUUUGAGUUUCUUCUUAAGAAACAAGACCUUGGUGUGCUGGAAAUUUGUUUACACCAAGAUAAUCCUGAUGGAGCAUUAUUACAAUGCAGAAGAUGGGAGUGGAUAUCUAGCAUGGAGACUGAAAUCAGAGGGACGACAGAAGACCAUUUGAUUGUAGUUAGUCUCAUUCAUGACACAUUCAUUCACAUAAUUGUAUGCAAACAAUUGUAUAAGCAAGUGUUUUAGUCUUUUAGUGUGAAUUGCUGGAGUCAAAUAAAUCAUACUUUUCACCUGGUGACA